CUGUGGCACAAUGUUAUUUUCAUGAUUUUUUUGAAAAUAAAAAGUAGUACAUGGUCUGGACAUGCUAGCACGCGAAUGCUAUUAACCAUUCAACGGCAAAUCCAUGCGACUCCAACAAUGCAUUUAUUAGCGGGUAAAGAUAUCUGACAGAGACGUCGACAGGCUGUACGGAACGCUCAGUGCAGAAUAUGGAGGAGGAAA
Molecule: long non-coding RNA, 201 nt
Filed under: Elaeis guineensis (African oil palm)
Lineage: Eukaryota; Viridiplantae; Streptophyta; Magnoliopsida; Arecales; Arecaceae
Description: long non-coding RNA (EGUI_LNC023791)
Source: RNAcentral